AUGUCCGCCCACCUCCGCCUCCUCUCCGCCGCGGCCGCGCUCCCGGCGCCCGCGUCCCUCCGGCGGGCGCGGCUGCUCCCGCCCGCGCCCCCGCUCCCCUCCGCCCGGCUCCUCGCCCCUCGCCGGCGCGGCCUCUCCCCGCGCGCGGCCGUCCGCGUCGUCCGAUGCGCCGCCGCGGCAGGCGCGGCCGACGGGGGCGAGCGGGAGGUGGCGGUGGACGCGAUGGCGGCGGAGGGCGCGGGGAUAUGGGCACAGGUGCGGGACGUGGUGGUGUUCGCGGGGCCCGCGCUCGGGCUCUGGAUCUGCGGCCCGCUCAUGAGCCUCAUCGACACCAUGGUCAUCGGCCAGACCUCCUCCCUCCAGCUCGCAGCCCUAGGGCCUGGGACCGUGUUCUGCGACUAUCUGUGCUACAUAUUCAUGUUCCUGUCAGUCGCAACCUCCAACAUGGUGGCCACCUCCUUAGCUAACAAGGAUGAAGAACUUGCACAGCAUCAAGUGUCUAUGCUGCUAUUUUUAGCUCUUACUUUUGCUUUCACUGGAUCCAAAAAUCAUGAAAUUAUUUCUGCUGCCAAUACAUAUGCACAGAUUCGAGGUUUUGCAUGGCCUGCAGUUCUCGUUGGCUUAGUUGCCCAAAGUGCUAGUCUAGGCAUGAAAGAUUCUUGGGGUCCUCUGAAGGCAUUGGCAGCAGCUAGUGUUAUAAAUGCCGUUGGCGAUAUAUUUCUUUGCUCUGUAUGUGGCUAUGGAAUUGCUGGUGCCGCCUGGGCUACUAUGGUUUCACAGAUUGUUGCAGCUUUUAUGAUGAUGCAAAAUCUAAACAGUAGAGGUUUUCGAGCAUUCUCAUUCACAAUCCCAUCGACAAGAGAGCUUCUGCAGAUAUUCGAAAUCGCAGCUCCUGUUUUUGUGACAAUGACAUCCAAGGUAGCAUUUUAUGCAUUGCUUACAUACUCCGCGACUUCUAUGGGAGCAAUAACUCUUGCAGGCCAUCAGGUUAUGGUUAAUAUAUUAUGCAUGUGCACUGUUUGGGGUGAGCCCCUGUCACAAACUGCACAGUCGUUUAUGCCGGAGAUGAUAUACGGAGCUAACCGCAAUUUGAUGAAGGCAAGGAUGCUACUCAAGUCACUCGUAGUUAUUGGAGCUAUAGCUGGACUGACUGUGGGGACAGCUGGAACGAUUGUUCCGUGGCUUUUUCCUAGGCUGUUUACCAAUGAUCAAAUGGUUGUACAACAGAUGCACAAAGUGCUGAUUCCAUAUUUCACUGCAUUGUUUGUGACACCUUCAGUACACAGCCUUGAAGGAGCAUUACUGGCUGGAAGGGAUCUCAGGUAUUUGAGUCAAUCAAUGGGUGCAUGCUUCUGCGUUGGAACCUUUCUUCUAUUGCUUGUCCGUGACAAGUUUAGUAGCUUGACACUAUGCUGGUGGGUACUUGUCUUCUUCCAGUGGAGUCGGUUUGGAAGCGCUUUACAACGGCUUGUUUCUCCAACGGGCAUGUUGUAUAACGAAAAUUUCAACCAGCCUGAGCAAGUCAAAGUGAAGGCAACAUAA
RNAcentral lists this ribosomal RNA (1542 nucleotides) under Triticum aestivum (bread wheat). RNAcentral's name for it is "partial small subunit ribosomal RNA". The record is from RNAcentral. Lineage: Eukaryota; Viridiplantae; Streptophyta; Magnoliopsida; Poales; Poaceae.